RNAcentral lists this long non-coding RNA (950 nucleotides) under Trifolium pratense (red clover). RNAcentral's name for it is "long non-coding RNA (TPRA_LNC012816)". Lineage: Eukaryota; Viridiplantae; Streptophyta; Magnoliopsida; Fabales; Fabaceae. The record is from RNAcentral.
UAGCAUCUGAAGGUAUAGUAUUAAGAGAUGUCGAUAGGAUGAGCAGAAUCAUAAGCUAUUGGACAAGGAAAUUUUUGGAUUAGUCGUUAUGAAUAUUCUAAGCUCGUACCCUUAAGAUAACCUCGUAAUAGUAGUCAGUGUCCCAUGUUUUAGUGUAUACCCCAACCAGGCCAGAUAUCAACUUAAUGAAGUUGUUGAGUAAUAAAGUAAUUGUCAGGAUCAGUAAAGGAGUAAUAACAAAAGAAGUGACACCGAAUAAGAUGAGACGACGUGUGACAGUGUUCGGAAAUUGUAGACCAAGGUUGUAAUGACGCUGGCAGAAGAUGACAGUUUGUAGUUGAAAUCAGAGUGCGCAGCAAGUAUUGAUUGAGAAUGUAGUCAGCAGUUUGGUUUUAGGCCAACAUCUCUUUGAGAGAGGAAAGUUCUAUUCCAAAGGUUUAGAUGUGGAUGAUCGUAAAGUGAUUAACGAACGUAUGACGGUUAGAGUACGCAUAAGUACACACUUGAACCCAUGGGUCAUCGAGAAACGACAGUGGUAAGCUAGUAUAGAAGUUGUAUACGGAUGGAAUAAGAACUUUGGAUUGUAGAAACAGAAUAACCUCCACAUAAAGUAUUACAUUAAGAACGGUUCGUUCGAGAAGUUUAACGCAGUAAAGUAAGCAGUGCAAGGGCGUGUCAAUGAGGAUUCGAAAAGUAGAACGGAGAUACUGAUGUGCUCAAAAUGAUUGGACUAAGAAAAGAUACUGCAAGAAGUCUAAUAAAAGAUGGGCGUGUACCCAAUAGUUGUAUUAAUGAAUUGAAGUCGAGGAUGUUGAUGAGUACUAAGGUUAUGACUGAAGAAGUUUCGGAAUUUCGAGGACGAAAUUCUUUUAAGGAGGGUAGAUUGUAACAUCCCAACUUCAAUUAACCGAACUCAUUAAUUAGAGUUGUUUAUAUAUAUGGACUUGAGG